RNAcentral lists this ribosomal RNA (966 nucleotides) under Triticum aestivum (bread wheat). RNAcentral's name for it is "partial small subunit ribosomal RNA". The record is from RNAcentral. Lineage: Eukaryota; Viridiplantae; Streptophyta; Magnoliopsida; Poales; Poaceae.
AUGACAAGGACAAAAGGGCAAGGUGGCAUGGGGUUCAAAGACAUGAGAAUUUUCAAUCAGGCACUCCUCGCACAUCAAGCAUGGAGACUGCUACAGGCUCCUGAAAGUCUAUGUGCCCGUGUGUUGAAGGCGCGCUAUUAUCCGCAAGGAAACCUCCUAGACACGGUCUUCACCGGGCAGCCAUCGUCCACCUGGACGGCCAUUGCCCAUGGCUUGGAGCUGCUCAAAGAAGGCAUGAUAUGGCGUAUCGGGAACGGAGAAUCUGUCCGCAUCUGGCGGGAUAAUUGGUUACCACGCUCUACCUCGCUCAAACUAAUUGGCCCCCGUGGCCGAUCGAGACUCAUCUGGGUCUCUAGUCUGCUAGAUCAGUACAGCGCAUGGGAUGAGGCUGCUGUGUGGGCGAAUUUUGCACCGAUUGAUGCUUGUAAAAUACUCAAAAUCCGCACCUCGCCGCGUGGUGAACCGGACUUCCUCGCCUGGCAACCGGAGAAAAAUGGAAUAUUUACUUUCAGUAGUGCCUAUAGACUAGGUCUGAAUCUGACGGAGAGUGCGCGCAAUGUGCCGGCUGCGAGGAAUAGCCCAAGUGGAGACCGCCAAAUCUGGAAGAAGAUCUGGAGUCUGCCGGUACCCCCUAGGGUCCGGACGUUUGCAUGGCUGGCAAUCACAAACUCACUAGCAACGGAGGACAACAAGAAGGGCCACCAUAUCCCUGUUACUGGUGUGUGUUUGAUAUGUGGCCAUGAGCAGGAAGAUGUCCUUCACGCCCCGUACAACUGUCCACAUGUACGUGAACUUUGGAAUGCCAUGCGUGAGGUUUGGACACUCCCAUCACAUGCAAUAAUGGAGCGGCUACAAGGGGAAUGGAUUCCAGAGCUCAUCCUACCCCGUUCCCCUGAUGAGUGUGCUCAUAUCCUAAUGGUUCUGUGGAGGGCGUGGUAUGUCAGAAACGAACUCACUCAUGCUAAA